This is a non-coding RNA of Podarcis lilfordi (Lilford's wall lizard), 80 nucleotides long. The record is from the annotation of a GenBank genome assembly. Lineage: Eukaryota; Metazoa; Chordata; Lepidosauria; Squamata; Lacertidae.
AGUUUGUUAUUGGUAUGAGCUUUUGUGUGCAUAUCUGAAGAAAUGUGCAUGCACACGAAAGCUCAUACCAAUAACAAACU